GACGAACGCUGGCGGCGUGCCUAAUACAUGCAAGUUGAGCGAUGAAGAUUGGUGCUUGCACCAAUUUGAAGAGCAGCGAACGGGUGAGUAACGCGUGGGGAAUCUGCCUUUGAGCGGGGGACAACAUUUGGAAACGAAUGCUAAUACCGCAUAACAACUUUAAACAUAAGUUUUAAGUUUGAAAGAUGCAAUUGCAUCACUCAAAGAUGAUCCCGCGUUGUAUUAGCUAGUUGGUGAGGUAAAGGCUCACCAAGGCGAUGAUACAUAGCCGACCUGAGAGGGUGAUCGGCCACAUUGGGACUGAGACACGGCCCAAACUCCUACGGGAGGCAGCAGUAGGGAAUCUUCGGCAAUGGACGAAAGUCUGAACGGGCAACGCCGCGGGAGUGAAGAAGGGUUUCGGAUCGUAAAAAUCUGUUGGUAGAGAAGAACGUUGGUGAGAGUGGAAAGCUCAUCAAGUGACGGUAACUACCCAGAAAGGGACGGCUAACUACGUG
RNAcentral lists this ribosomal RNA (497 nucleotides) under uncultured bacterium. RNAcentral's name for it is "partial 16S ribosomal RNA". It matches the Rfam family "Bacterial small subunit ribosomal RNA", at positions 28 to 507 of the family's 1533-position model. The record is from RNAcentral.